UCCUACGGGAGGCAGCAGUGGGAAUAUGCACAAUGGGCGGAAGCCUGAUGCAGCGACGCCGCGUGAGGGAUGACGGCCUUCGGGUUGUAAACCUCUUUCAGUAGGGAAGAAGCGAGAGUGACGGUACCUGCAGAAGAAGCGCCGGCUAACUACGUGCCAGCAGCCGCGGUAAUACGUAGGGCGCAAGCGUUGUCCGGAAUUAUUGGGCGUAAAGAGCUCGUAGGCGGUUUGUCGCGUCUGCUGUGAAAGCCCGGAGCUCAACCCCGGGUCUGCAGUGGGUACGGGCAGACUAGAGUGCAGUAGGGGAGACUGGAAUUCCUGGUGUAGCGGUGAAAUGCGCAGAUAUCAGGAGGAACACCGAUGGCGAAGGCAGGUCUCUGGGCUGUUACUGACGCUGAGGAGCGAAAGCAUGGGGAGCGAACAGGAUUAGAUACCCUGGUAGUCCAUGCCGUAAACGUUGGGCACUAGGUGUGGGGGACAUUCCACGUUUUCCGCGCCGUAGCUAACGCAUUAAGUGCCCCGCCUGGGGAGUACGGCCGCAAGGCUAAAACUCAAAGGAAUUGACGGGGGCCCGCACAAGCGGCGGAGCAUGCGGAUUAAUUCGAUGCAACGCGAAGAACCUUACCAAGGCUUGACAUUCACCGGACCGCCCCAGAGAUGGGGUUUCCCUUCGGGGCUGGUGGACAGGUGGUGCAUGGUUGUCGUCAGCUCGUGUCGUGAGAUGUUGGGUUAAGUCCCGCAACGAGCGCAACCCUCGUUCUAUGUUGCCAGCACGUGAUGGUGGGGACUCAUAGGAGACUGCCGGGGUCAACUCGGAGGAAGGUGGGGAUGACGUCAAAUCAUCAUGCCCCUUAUGUCUUGGGCUUCACGCAUGCUACAAUGGCCGGUACAAAGGGUUGCGAUACUGUGAGGUGGAGCUAAUCCCAAAAAGCCGGUCUCAGUUCGGAUUGAGGUCUGCAACUCGACCUCAUGAAGUCGGAGUCGCUAGUAAUCGCAGAUCAGCAACGCUGCGGUGAAUACGUUCCCGGGCCUUGUACACACCGCCCGUCAAGUC
Molecule: ribosomal RNA, 1054 nt
Filed under: Kocuria rosea
Lineage: Bacteria; Bacillati; Actinomycetota; Actinomycetes; Micrococcales; Micrococcaceae
Description: bacterial SSU rRNA
Rfam family: Bacterial small subunit ribosomal RNA
Source: RNAcentral